Molecule: ribosomal RNA, 357 nt
Filed under: Triticum aestivum (bread wheat)
Lineage: Eukaryota; Viridiplantae; Streptophyta; Magnoliopsida; Poales; Poaceae
Description: partial small subunit ribosomal RNA
Source: RNAcentral
AUGCGAACGACGGCAGUCCCCUCCGGCGCCGACCCUUCCUUUCCUUCCCAGCCGUGCGGUGGCCCACUGCCGGUGCACAUCUCCUCUCCCUCGGGCCACCUCCUGACCCGCCCCUUCUUCUCUGGCUCCAGCCAGCCCCUUCUUCCUCCACCCUUGUUCCCUAGCUCCAGGCAGCCAACUCUGUUUCUUUUUAUUCCUAGUCCUUUUGUCAAUGAUUUGCUGACCACUGAUGUAUCCUCUUAUUGCAGGUUGGAUUUGGAACUAUGUGUCGUUGAGAAUUUGAGACACCUAUUUAAACUAGAUGUAUUGCACUUUGUUGGUGUAAUUUUUGUUUGUUUUUGUGUCAAUAUUAUAUGA